GAACAAUGGCUUAGUGGUGGAGCUAUAUGCUUGGCAUGCAGAAGGUCUGAGGUUCAAUCCCCGGCAUCUCCA
RNAcentral lists this transfer RNA (72 nucleotides) under Sphaerodactylus townsendi. Its description in RNAcentral is "tRNA-Ala". The record is from RNAcentral. Lineage: Eukaryota; Metazoa; Chordata; Lepidosauria; Squamata; Sphaerodactylidae.